UACGAACCGUCCUAACGUUGUUCGGAUUCACUGGGCUUAAAGGGCGCGUAGGCGGCCUGGUAAGUCCGGGGUGAAAUCUUUCGGCUCAACCGGAAAAGUGCCUUGGAAACUGCCAGUCUCGAGGGGGGUAGGGGGCUGUGGAACUUCGGGUGGAGCGGUGAAAUGCGUUGAUAUCCGGAGGAACGCCGGUGGCGAAAGCGACGGGCUGGACCACUUCUGACGCUGAGGCGCGAAAGCCAGGGGAGCAAACGGG
RNAcentral lists this ribosomal RNA (253 nucleotides) under uncultured bacterium. Its description in RNAcentral is "partial 16S ribosomal RNA". It matches the Rfam family "Bacterial small subunit ribosomal RNA", at positions 524 to 776 of the family's 1533-position model. The record is from RNAcentral.